This 564-nucleotide ribosomal RNA is filed under the name Brevitrygon walga (dwarf whipray). RNAcentral describes it as "partial 16S ribosomal RNA". It matches the Rfam family "Bacterial large subunit ribosomal RNA", at positions 1851 to 2605 of the family's 2925-position model. The record is from RNAcentral. Lineage: Eukaryota; Metazoa; Chordata; Chondrichthyes; Myliobatiformes; Dasyatidae.
AGGUCCGCCUGCCCUGUGAUAUUUUUAACGGCCGCGGUAUCUUGACCGUGCGAAGGUAGCGUAAUCAAUUGUUUUUUAAUAGAAGGACCGUAUGAAAGGCAUUACGAGAGUUUAACUGUCUUUAUUUUCCAAUCAAUGAAAUUAAUCUCCUCGUGCAGAAGCGAGGAUAUAAACAUAAGACGAGAAGACCCUAUGGAGCUUUAAACACUUAAGUUAUCUUGAAAAUAAAUACGCGUCCUUGGAUAUAAAUACUUAAAAAGUCUUAACUUAACUUGUUUUUGGUUGGGGUGACCAAGGAGAAAAACAAAGCCUCCUUAUCGAAUGUGUGAUUAAUCACUCAAAAAUUAGAAUUACUAUUCUAAUCAAUAGAAAAUCUAACGAACAAUGACCCAGGGAUCUCCUCCCUGACCAAUGAACCAAGUUACCCUAGGGAUAACAGCGCAAUCCUUUCCAAGAGCCCCCAUUACCGAAAGGGUUUACGACCUCGAUGUUGGAUCAGGACAUCCUAAUGGUGCAGCAGCUAUUAAGGGUUCGUUUGUUCAACGAUUAAAGUCCUACGUGAUC